This 67-nucleotide transfer RNA is filed under the name Pelobates varaldii (Moroccan spadefoot toad). RNAcentral describes it as "tRNA-Ser". Lineage: Eukaryota; Metazoa; Chordata; Amphibia; Anura; Pelobatidae. The record is from RNAcentral.
GAGAUAAGCUGGGAUAACGAGAACUGCUAAUUACUCGCCACCAUAGUUCGAUUCUAUGGUUAACUCG